CGGCAGUCAGAUUCCGAACGUCAGGUCGUUUUGUGAGGGCGGUGAUAAGAGUUUCAGGAAUUCCACACAGCCCAAACCCUCCAGAGAGGAUGAUGUCGCCGGUCUUGACGUCUUUUACGGCCUCGUCGACCGAGUCCCAAACCUUCGUUUUCCUGGGAGCAUCUCGGACGACGGAGUAAUAUCGUAGACGGGUAGCAAUGGCGAUCCGGCUGCUACUGUGCG
Molecule: unclassified non-coding RNA, 222 nt
Filed under: Hevea brasiliensis (rubber tree)
Lineage: Eukaryota; Viridiplantae; Streptophyta; Magnoliopsida; Malpighiales; Euphorbiaceae
Source: RNAcentral